AAUCCCUUAUCGAUUAACAAUUAGAGGGCAAGUCUGGUGCCAGCAGCCGCGGUAAUUCCAGCUCUAAUAGCGUAUAUUAAAGUUGUUGCAGUUAAAAAGCUCGUAGUUGGAUUUCGGCGUGCGCUCAGGCUGGUCGGCCGUCAAGGUCUGUACCGUUUGGGUCACGCCCCACUGUAGGAUACUCACCGCUGUCCUUAACUGGGUGGCGGUCAAAGGGGGUGUGCAUGGGGGCAACUCUGUGCAUAUCUCUGGGGUUCCUACUCUUUUACUUUGAGCAAAUUAGAGUGUUCAAAGCAGGCAAUCGAGCCUUGAAUACUUCAGCAUGGGAUAAUGGAACAGGACUGGGGUCCUGAUUUCGUUGGUUUCUGGGAUCUCAGUAAUGAUUAAUAGGGAUAGUUGGGGGCAUUAGUAUUUAAUUGUCAGAGGUGAAAUUCUUGGAUUUAUGAAAGACUAACUUCUGCGAAAGCAUUUGCCAAGGAUGUUUUCAUUAAUCAAGAACGAAAGUUAGGGGAUCGAAGACGAUCAGAUACCGUCGUAGUCUUAACCAUAAACGAUGCCGACCAGCGAUUGGGAGACGUUACAUGGAUGACUCCCCCAGCAGCUUGCGAGAAAUCACAAGUCUUUGGGUUCCGGGGGGAGUAUGGUCGCAAGGCUGAAACUUAAAGGAAUUGACGGAAGGGCACCACCAGGAGUGGAGCCUGCGGCUUAAUUUGACCCAACACGGGGAAACUUACCAGGUCCAGACAUAGUAAGGAUUGACAGAUUUGAGAGCUCUUUCUUGAUUCUAUGGGUGGUGGUGCAUGGCCGUUCUUAGUUGGUGGAGUGAUUUGUCUGGUUAAUUCCGUUAACGAACGAGACCUUAACCUGCUAAAUAUGUCACUGGUAGACUUCUGCCAAAACAGGUGGGUGUCUAGGGGAAAGUUUCGAUGGACUCCGACGCAUUCAUCUGUGGAUGACUACCAGGAUGUACUUCUUAGAGGGACUAUCUGUAUCAAAGCAGAUGGAAGUUUGAGGCAAUAACAGGUCUGUGAUGCCCUUAGACGUUCUGGGCCGCACGCGCGCUACACUGACAAGUUCAACGAGUUUAACACCUUGCUCGAUAGGGCUGGGUAAUCUUUGAAAAACUUGUCGUGAUGGGGAUAGAUCAUUGUAAUUAUUGGUCUUCAACGAGGAAUUCCUAGUAAGCGUGAGUCAUCAGCUCGCGUUGAUUACGUCCCUGCCCUUUGUACACACCGCCCGUCGCUCCUACCGAUUGAAUGAUCCGGUGAAAUGUUGGGAGCUGGGGUCUUUUGGCGGCGGGGCAACUCGUCGUCAGGGAUUCUGCAAACUUCAUUAAACCUUAUCAUUUAGA
RNAcentral lists this ribosomal RNA (1351 nucleotides) under metagenome. RNAcentral's name for it is "SSU rRNA". It matches the Rfam family "Eukaryotic small subunit ribosomal RNA", at positions 528 to 1777 of the family's 1831-position model. The record is from RNAcentral.